AGGGGCUCUGCCCGGGUCCACUGUCUAGGUGCACGGAAGUUGGGGGGCGAGAGGUCUUCCACUUCUCCAGCAAACUGGAACGGAUUGCUGGCGGUUCCCUGGAGGGUCCUGGCUUGUGCGUGUCAGGACGCCUCUCCGCGACCGCUCAUAAAGGGUUAUGGAGCCUGGCGUGAAGUUAAAGUUUACUCCUAUCCUGGAGGUGUUCUUGGAGGGCAGAAGAGGAUAUGGAAUCCCCUGGAGCUGCAGUUAUGGCGGGUGUGAGAUGUCUGAUUGUGGGUGCUGGGAACCCAGUUCAACUCCUUGGCAAGAGCGGCACUGCCUUUAACCGCCUAGCAUCUCCUCAGCCCCACGUGUCCAGUUUUAGCCCGCACUGAGGCAAGCAUCCUACCAAUUGAGCUACAGACCAAGACACCUGGACGUGGUGGCCCACAUCUAUAACCCCCAGCACUUCCAAGGCUGAGACAGGAGGGUUGCCACCGUUUGAGGCUAGCCCAAGCUACACAGUGAAUUCCAGGCUCAGCCUGGGCUUCAGAGUCAGAAUGUAUCUACAAAUCUUUCUGGGUCUGUGUUGGAUGGUAUCCUUAAUUUUCUAACAUCACAUUUGCAGGGCAGCGGUUAGAAGUAGAAGUACUGUAAAGUGGAAAGGCUUAGGGCGUGGAGACAUGGUUAAUAGAGCAUACGGUUCUCACAGAGGACCAGAGUUUGGAUCCCAGCACCCAUGCCCAGCGCCCACAACUGCCUGUAACUCCAGAGGAGUCGGGCACCUCUGAGGGCACAGGCACUCAUGUGCAAGACCCACACACAUAUACAAAAUUGAAUUUUCAAUAAAAGUCCUUUUUUAAAAUGGAAAAAUUAAAGAUUAAAAUUUCUUAAAAAUUCAAAAACAUAAAAAGCUCAAAUAUUGUUCAUAUAUACAAGAUGUUGGCCGUAGCAUUUUUAUAGAAGCAAAUAAAGAAGAACUUAUAGUAAAUCUACAUAAUAGAAUAUUGUUUGGCAUUAAAAAGAGCAAUUUUAUUUAAUUCUAUGUGAGCCCAAAUAAACCCUUCC
Peromyscus maniculatus bairdii (prairie deer mouse) is the source of this 1047-nucleotide non-coding RNA. The record is from RefSeq and is a predicted model, not a curated record. NCBI's taxonomy places the organism in Eukaryota, Metazoa, Chordata, Mammalia, Rodentia, Cricetidae.